RNA transcript from Morus notabilis, 3243 nucleotides. It is a transcript of the gene named probable inactive leucine-rich repeat receptor-like protein kinase At3g03770, with no coding region annotated. The transcript has 10 exons. NCBI's taxonomy places the organism in Eukaryota, Viridiplantae, Streptophyta, Magnoliopsida, Rosales, Moraceae. The record is from RefSeq and is a predicted model, not a curated record.
UUGAGAAACACUUUGGAAUGUUUGUUUUGUUGGAGAAAUCAGAUUUUCCAAGUCAUUUUGAGAGUUUCUCUUCUUUUGGUUCAUUUUUUUUUUCCUCUUUUGAAAUUGUCCGAGUCUGGUGAGAAAACAGAAAACUGACUUCUGUAGAGAAAAUAACUCUGUGAUGUGCUGUCCGUAGACACUUGACUUGAGAGACACAAUCUGAAACUGCAAACCCAAUUCCGGUGGGCAUUUAACAAGUCACUCAUUAUCAUCAUCCAAUUUAGUUGUUUUCCUUAACUGGCUUUUCUGUUACGGCCUGAGAAGAGAAUAGGAAAAUACCAUUUCAAUCUGUUUGAGGGAAUUCUCUUGAAGUUGUCUGUAUAUCUCAUUCCAAUUUCCGUUCUCUGUAGUUCUUAGUGCAUAACUACUUUCUUCUUAUGUCCCCAAUUUUCUCAAAUUGUUUAGUCUCAAAACUUCUUAUCUUUUACCUUACAGUUGGUUCAAUGUAAUUAUCUGCAAAUGGAAAAACUAGUGCACCAUUCUGUAUUUCUUGUUGUUGUUACGGUGUUUCUUCUAAUCUGUCGAUCGGAGGAACUCCGAUCUUCCGAGUCUCAGGCUCUUUUGAGAAUUCAGAGACUUCUCAACUUCCCAACCAUUCUAAGAGAAUGGAAAAACAAUACCGAUUUCUGUAACACUGAACCAAACCAAUCCUUAGCUGUUGUGUGCUAUGAAGAUAGCAUAACCCAGCUUCAUAUAAUUGGUGAAAAGGGAGCUCCUCUCUUGCCUAGAAACUUUUCGAUAGAUUCCUUUGUAACAACUCUUGUUAAUCUACCGGAUUUGAAAGUCCUAACUUUCGUCUCUCUUGGUCUAUGGGGUCCCUUGCCUGAUAAAAUCGGGCGUUUGACAUCACUGGAGAUACUUAACAUGAGCUCAAAUUUUCUCUAUGGUGGCAUCCCCCGAGAGGUUUCAUCGCUAACAAGUCUUCGAACACUCAUACUCGAUGACAACAUGCUGGCUGGUCGGUUACCGGGUUGGCUGAGUUCACUCCCACUUUUGACUGUUUUGAGUUUGAAGAAUAAUUCGUUUAAUGGAUCUGUGCCGACUUCAUUUGCUUAUCCUGAAAAUCUAAGAGUUCUUGCAUUGUCACAUAACCACUUUUACGGAGAGGUUCCCGAUUUUAGUCGGUUGACAAACCUUCAAGUUCUUGAAUUGGAAGACAAUGCUUUUGGACCAAAGUUUCCUACCCUUGGAAGCAAGUUAGUUACUCUGGUACUAAGCAAGAACAGGUUUAGAUCUGGCUUGCCUUCUGAACUCAGCUCCUAUUAUCAGCUUGACAAACUAGACCUUUCCUACAAUUCUUUUGUGGGGCCAUUUCCGCAAUCAUUGCUAUCACUCCCUUCUAUCACUUAUCUAAAUGUUGCAGGAAACAGAUUCACAGGAAUGCUUUUUGGCAAUCAAUCUUGCAGUCCUGUUCUUGAAUUUGUGGAUUUGUCCUCAAAUCUUUUGACUGGAACCGUACCUAGCUGCCUUGUAUCGAAUUAUAAGGACAAGGUUUUCCUAUAUGCUAUGAAUUGUUUAGCAACCAGAAAACAAAAGCAACAUCCAUUGCAGUUUUGUCGUAAUGAAGCUUUAGCUGUCGGAAUCUUACCUGAGAAAAAGAAGCAAAAACAAGUUUUUAAGGCAUUUCUUGCCUUGGCUAUACUUGGAGGUGCUUUUGGAAGUAUUCUCCUUGUACUUGUAAUUUUCUUGAUUUAUAGAAGGAUUAACUCCAGGGUAAUAAAGAAAUCUUCUACAAGAUCAAUAGCGGAGAAUGCGUCGACUGGAACUGGAUACACCUCAAAGUUGCUCUGUGAUGCAAGGUAUAUAUCACAAACAAUGAAGAUGGGAGCGCUUGGUCUUCCUGGUUAUCGAACCUUUUCUUUGGAAGAGCUUGAGGAGGCUACAAACAACUUUGAUACAUCUGCUUUUAUGGGUGAAGGUUCUUAUGGGCAGAUGUACAGAGGCCUGCUGAGGGAUGGUUCCUAUGUUGCUAUUAGAUGCCUAAAAAUUAAAAGGAGGCACGGCACGCAAAAUUUCAUGCAACAUAUCGAUCUUACUUCUAAACUCAGACAUUGGAACUUGGUUAGUGCUCUUGGGCAUUGCUUUGAGUGUUACUUGGAUGAUUCCAGUGUCAGCAGCAUGUUUCUUAUCUUUGAAUAUGUACCAAAUGGCACUCUAAGGAGCUGGAUCUCUGAGGGACAUUCCAAGCGACCACUAAGUUGGAUACGACGGAUAGCAGCCGCAAUAGGCAUAGCAAAGGGUCUCCAAUUUCUACAUACUGGGAUUGUGCCUGGCAUAUACAGAAAUAAUCUCAAAAUAACAGACAUACUACUUGAUUACAGCCUCACUGCAAAGAUUAGUAGUUAUAACCUCCCCUUAUUGGCAAAUAACUUGGGCAAGGUUAGCCAUGGCAUUUCUUCCAGUGGAUCCAAAGAUCCCUGGAUUGAUGAGGAAAAGAUUGAUAUUUAUGACUUUGGAGUAAUAUUGCUGGAAAUCAUUAAGGGCAGACAAGUAAAUUCUGAAAAAAAGGUGGAUGCACUAGUAGAUCAGUUACAACUUGCAAUUGCAGCUGAUAGAGCAGCUCGACGGAGUGUGGUUGAUCCUGCAGUUAACAGGUCAUGCUUGGACCAGUCGUUGAAGACGAUGAUGGAAAUUUGCGUCAGGUGUCUGCUCAAGAAACCAGAAGAUAGACCUUCGAUUGAAGAUAUAUUGUGGAAUUUGCAGUAUGCUGCUCAAGUUCAGGGUGCAUGGCGCGGAGACUCACAGAGCAGUGACAGUUCUCCAAUCUGACCUCAACAACGUUCAUUCGCCACUUUCUGUUAGUAACAGCAUACUGAAACAUGGAAGCUGAUAGAUGGAAAGGGAAUGGCACCAGCAAAAUCAAAUGUUGUUGGCAGGAACAAUAUCUUUCCGUUUGGAAUUGUAGACCGUGCUAGUUGCCUCUAAAAAGAGAAAAAGAAGGCACUCAAACUCAAUCCUACUAUCAUGCAAGGAUUCCACAUUGUAAUAGAUUAAACAGUAUUGUGUAAUAUUGAUUAUUAUGUGAUUUUUUCUUAAAUCAUAAUCAAUAUCAUACAAAACAAAAACAAUUUGGUUUAUUACGUUGUGCCAAACAAAAGAUUUACUCUAAUGUUGAGAGUAGUCCACCAGGACUUUCUUAGUAAUUGUCAAAUGAAUGGUUGUGUUGUAGUUGCAAGCAGUGACGGAGGGAGGAUUUUUAUU